Acanthosepion pharaonis is the source of this 101-nucleotide non-coding RNA. The record is from the annotation of a GenBank genome assembly. Lineage: Eukaryota; Metazoa; Mollusca; Cephalopoda; Sepiida; Sepiidae.
UAUAUUGAAACACUGGUUCUCAUAUGAUCACCAAAGUUAAACAAUGUUGUGCCUGGUCAGCACUUAGAUGAGUGAUUACUUGGGAAUACCAGUUACUGUAA